GACGAACGCUGGCGGCGUGCUUAACACAUGCAAGUCGAACGGAAAGGCCCCUUUGGGGGUACUCGAGUGGCGAACGGGUGAGUAACACGUGAGUAACCUGCCCUUGACUUCGGGAUAACUUCAGGAAACUGGGGCUAAUACCGGAUAGGAAUCCUUGCUGCAUGGUGGGGGUUGGAAAGCUUCGGCGGUUUUGGAUGGACUCGCGGCUUAUCAGCUUGUUGGUGGGGUAGUGGCUUACCAAGGCCUUGACGGGUAGCCGGCCUGAGAGGGCGACCGGCCACAUUGGGACUGAGAUACGGCCCAGACGCCUACGGGAGGCAGCAGUGGGGAAGAUUGCACAAUGGGCGGAAGCCUGAUGCAGCAGCGCCGCGUGCGGGAUGACGGCCUUCGGGUUGUAAACCGCUUUCAGCAGGGGCGAAGCUUGUGGUGACGGUACCUGCAGAAGAAGCACCGGCUAACUACGUG
Molecule: ribosomal RNA, 465 nt
Filed under: uncultured bacterium
Lineage: Bacteria
Description: partial 16S ribosomal RNA
Rfam family: Bacterial small subunit ribosomal RNA
Source: RNAcentral